CCAUCGUCCCUGCCGAACCAUCGCCAACCAUCAAGUUCUCCAGUCUUCCGCUCGCGCAGAUACAGAACGCCGGAUGCCCGCGCCAUUCGCCUUGCCCGGGCCCGGCGCUUGAGCUCGCAGCGGCUGGCAUGGCGGCCAUGGUUCGCAACUCGCAUUCGUCUUCCCUGCAACGUGCGCAGCUACGAACGCGAGGUUAGUGGGUC
RNAcentral lists this long non-coding RNA (203 nucleotides) under Setaria italica (foxtail millet). RNAcentral describes it as "long non-coding RNA (SITA_LNC006563)". The record is from RNAcentral. Lineage: Eukaryota; Viridiplantae; Streptophyta; Magnoliopsida; Poales; Poaceae.